Molecule: long non-coding RNA, 341 nt
Filed under: Carica papaya (papaya)
Lineage: Eukaryota; Viridiplantae; Streptophyta; Magnoliopsida; Brassicales; Caricaceae
Description: long non-coding RNA (CPAP_LNC004317)
Source: RNAcentral
GACCUCCUGAAGGACUAUGAUUGCAAAUCAUCUACCUUCCCGGUAGAGGGAAUCUAGUCGCUGAUGCACUAAGUUAGAAGGAACCCAUUGUGUUGGCCCAAACUAUGGCCUCCAGUUAGAAAUUAGUUGAUGCUAUGCAGGCACUCCACCUCAACCACUAUGGCAAUGCUGCCUAUCUCACUCAUAUCCGAGCUAUAUCUUUUUAUAAAGAUUUGGGAAGCUCCAUCCAUGGAUCAAGAAAUCACCAAAAUUUCUAGUAAGUUUACUUCUAACGAGUUUUCUGAUUUUAGACUUACCGAUAAUGGGUUGUGCAGAUUUUGGGACUAUAUUUAGGUCCCUAU